RNAcentral lists this long non-coding RNA (486 nucleotides) under Nicotiana benthamiana. Its description in RNAcentral is "long non-coding RNA (NBEN_LNC002703)". Lineage: Eukaryota; Viridiplantae; Streptophyta; Magnoliopsida; Solanales; Solanaceae. The record is from RNAcentral.
AUUUUGCUUCUCCUUAGUUCUUUCAAUUUAGCUUCCAUCUAAAAUAUAGUUAAAGCAAAAACUCUUUUUUGUUUUUUUUGAAAACGGUGAAGUUUACAAGCGUACAAACUCUGUACUUAUCCAUAAAGUUCUUAGGACAUGACUCAUGACUACCCCCUUAAACUUGUUAUGUUCCUCCUACGUUUGUGACCCAUAACCUAUGAUACUACUAGAGGAUGUUGUAAGACGGGGGCUUUCUUUGAGACUUUCCUCUACCUUUGUUGUAUAGAUAAAAGUUACUCUUCUUCGAAAAAAAAUUACCUUUUCAGCUUUGCCUUCUCUCUAGCUUUCACCGCUUCAUCUUCUUCUUUGCUACCUCUGUGUAUGUAGUUUACCUACACCGAGGGUGCCAUGGCGAGAGGAAGAGGCAGACCCAAAAAAGUUCUGGUGCGCAUCUAUGCUAACACUAUUCCCCCAAAAACUGUUAACACUGAGCUACAAUCGGUU